This is a long non-coding RNA of Chinchilla lanigera (long-tailed chinchilla), 1316 nucleotides long. RefSeq lists it as uncharacterized. The transcript is spliced from 4 exons. The record is from RefSeq and is a predicted model, not a curated record. Lineage: Eukaryota; Metazoa; Chordata; Mammalia; Rodentia; Chinchillidae.
AUAAAAACAAACAAAAACAAGGAAGGACAAGCCCAAACAGGUUGAGAAUCACCGGGGUACUGAUGAAAUUAGGCUUCCUUAUUGGCACUCUGAAUGCCUCCUGCUUCAGGAUACAUUUGUUUUCCCUCUUUCUCUUUCGUUUCUGCUGCCUGUGGAAAUGAAGAAUAUGUUAUCUCCUUGGAUACCUGAAGACGAUUGCGCCACUUCUCUGCCUUUUCUUCCUUACGUACAAUAAUCCACUUCAUCUUUCCUCCGAGGGCUAGUUUUCACCUCGCUGAUCAACAUCGGGAAAGCUCCGCUGAGCCAUGCAAAUCUCCUGGCAGAUAAUGGUCUUUAGCUAUUUGGCCGUUCUGUGUGCACUGGCCCUAUACCAUUUUUCCUUCUUGUCACUGCUCUUUUUCUUUCCUGUGAUCCUUUUCCUCAGUGUCUGCUUAAUUUCUUCCCAAGUAGUCUGAGAUAUUUGAAAGGCAUCAUAAAAGUCCUCAGCAGACAUCUUGCUCGUAUCUGGGAUUGUGCUUCAUCCUGGGAAAGCCUUACAGGGAGAUGGUGCUGCCUAAAGAGUGAUGAGUGAGUGGAGGAAGAAAGAGAAAGAAAAUACCAUGGAGAAAGAGAAGGACUCAGGAAAAAUAAAGAUUAAAAACAGAAAGAAAAAGCCAGAUACUCAGAAGAGAUUAGAGUUUUCAUCUGUAUUCAUCACAGACCGACACAAGCUGGAGGAGCCACACCUUGAGACAGGAUCAUAUCUGGGAUACCAGCUUGCAUUUAGUUAUCAAGUCACCACUGACCAGCAACAGUUUUCUACCUUUGCUUUUGUGAUUCUGACUGUCAUGUGUUUUAGACUGAGAUUGUGAGAUUUUGAAGGAACAUUAUUAGCAUUUCCUCAUUUUCUGACACUAGACCAUGCUCAAGCUCAACUUGAAUUGUCCUCAACUCAGUUCUAUAAUCAGCAAUUGCACCAAGGAGCUAUGGUUUCUUUUGCAGGAGACGUAUUUUGAAGCCAAGAUAUGGGUGGUAUGUAUAUUAAUGUAUUUUUUAAAACAGAAAUAAAAUUAUGCAGAAAAUAUCUUAGACAUCUUUUAUUAUCAAACACCAAGAUUAGCUAAGUUUAAAUUAAGUUUUAAUUCCUCGGUUGCAUUGACCAGUAUCUUCACAGUUAUACUUGGGUUGAUAAUCCAACUUUAUGUUUUCUGUGAUGAAUUGUUUCAUUUCACAGAAACCAGAGGUUAACAGCAGGAGAAGAAAAGUAGGAUAACUCUGAAACUUUGAGACCCUGGAGGGAGAAAACAUGCACCCCAUGGGGAACGUAGGGUUGCCAC